CCUACGGGGGGCAGCAGUCGAGAAUCAUUCACAAUGGGGGAAACCCUGAUGGUGCGACGCCGCGUGGGGGAAUGAAGGUCUUCGGAUUGUAAACCCCUGUCAUGUGGGAGCAAAUUAAAAAGAUAGUACCACAAGAGGAAGAGACGGCUAACUCUGUGCCAGCAGCCGCGGUAAUACAGAGGUCUCAAGCGUUGUUCGGAAUCACUGGGCGGAAAGCGUGCGUAGGCUGUUUCGUAAGUCGUGUGUGAAAGGCGCGGGCUCAACCCGCGGACGGCACAUGAUACUGCGAGACUAGAGUAAUGGAGGGGUAACCGGAAUUCUCGGUGUAGCAGUGAAAUGCGUAGAUAUCGAGAGGAACACUCGUGGCGAAGGCGGGUUCCUGGACAUUAACUGACGCUGAGGCACGAAGGCCAGGGGAGCGAAAGGGAUUAGAUACCCUUGUAGUC
This 446-nucleotide ribosomal RNA is filed under the name uncultured bacterium. RNAcentral describes it as "partial 16S ribosomal RNA". It matches the Rfam family "Bacterial small subunit ribosomal RNA", at positions 338 to 795 of the family's 1533-position model. The record is from RNAcentral.